CCAUAGUGAUGCAUUUUUUAGAUAUUACUUUCUAUUUUUGAUCUUCGAGUUUCCGUAUUUGUGUAUCAUCACCUGUUGAAUCACCUUGUGCAAUAGCCUUAGAAACUGAUUCAUUUAACAUAUAAACUCUGUGAUGGAAUAUAGCAUCAAUUGGCAUUCAAUAAGGUUUGUCAAGAUAUUUGAUGUUACAAUAAAUGGUAAAAAUUAAUAACCUUUAUUUCUUACUGAGCUAUAGAGUUUGUUGGAUUUUCACUCACCUAUUGUCUGGAAAAGAUGGUCAAGGAUAAUGGAGGAUGAGUUGUUCUUGUACUGUGUGUUUGGAAGAAAGCUAAAGAGCUAAGAUUCAGACUGCUUUUAGACUUAGGCAUGUCUAACUUUAACAUAGAAAUGUAAAAACCAAGAUGUGGAUUGAAACAAUAAUUUACAAUCAUGCAAUUUCUACGAGGAUGUAGUGAAAUUCUUGUUUAAUCUUUUAACCUUUUAAUCACUGUUGCGG
This 496-nucleotide long non-coding RNA is filed under the name Musa acuminata (dwarf banana). RNAcentral's name for it is "long non-coding RNA (MACU_LNC003274)". The record is from RNAcentral. Lineage: Eukaryota; Viridiplantae; Streptophyta; Magnoliopsida; Zingiberales; Musaceae.